GGAAGGAUCAUUAACAAAAACUUGAACUUAAUAACCUAGCGAAGUCAUAGUGAGACGCGAGUCUCGCUAACCAUAAAGUUAUACGCUCUGAAACUAUAACUAAGUCAUGGUUGACAUAAACUAAAUUUUCAACGAUGGAUGUCUAGGCUCCCAUAACGAUGAAGAACGCAGCGAGAAUGCGAUAUGCAAUGUGAAUUGCAGAACUACGAAUCAUUUGAUCUUUGAACGCAAAUGGCGCUGAUUCAUGUCAGCAUACUUGUUUCAGUGUGCCUAACCAAAUUCCGAAUAAAUGUAGGAGAAAAUUCUCCUAUGAAACACAUGCUCCGAGUAGCAGUCGUCUAAUGCGCGAGUUACUUGUGAGAUUUGUGACUUAUUCGCACCUGAAAUCAAGUAAGAUCACCCGCUGGACUUAAGCAUAUUACUAAGCGGAGGAGAAGAAAUUAACUAAGAUUGCCUUAGUAAGGGCGACUGAACCGGCAAAAGCUCGAAAUUAAAAUCGGGGGACCAAUGGUCCUUCGAAUUGUAAUCAGGGUUGCCUAAAUACGGGAGGCCUCUUAAGAGUCUCGAAAGGCUCGCCAAAGAGGGUGAAAGCCCCGUUCAGGGGUCUCUCGAACAAGGUAACUUGAACAAGAGUCGUGUUGCUUGGAACUGCAGCACUAAGUGGGAGAUAUGAUUCUUCCAAAGCUAAAUAUGGAUGGGAGACCGAUAGCGAACAAGUACUGUGAAGGAAAGAUGAAAAGGACUUUGAAAAGAGAGUGAAAAGAUCUGAAAUCGUUGAGAAGGAAGCGGUUAAAACUGAUCUGGGUUAUGAUGGCGCAACGAGGGUUCGUCUCUUGGAGCGUUUACCAAAGACCCUUAACAAAAUGAGUCUCUCCGCGUCAAAAUAGGCGCAAGCCGUGUAGGGCGUGGAGGGACUGAGGGGCUACGGCGAUUUUGUUUAUAGGUUUUAACCGUCCCGUCUUGAAACACGGACCAAGGAGUCUAACACAUAUGCGAGUGUGCGAGUGCCAAACUCAUACGCGUAAUGAAAGUGAAAGGUGCGCAGCGCAAGCAGCAGCAUCGACCGACCUAGUAAGAAAGGUUUGAGUAUGAGCAUAUUUGUUAGGACCCGAAAGAUGGUGAACUAUGCCUGAGUAGGGUGAAGUCAGGGGAAACCCUGAUGGAGGCUCGUAGCGGUACUAACGUGCAAAUUGUUCGUCAAACUUGGGUAUAGGGGCGAAAGACUAAUCGAACCAUCUAGUAGCUGGUUCCCUC
Molecule: unclassified non-coding RNA, 1254 nt
Filed under: uncultured haptorid ciliate
Lineage: Eukaryota; Ciliophora; Litostomatea; Haptorida
Description: sequence contains 18S rRNA gene, ITS1, 5.8S rRNA gene, ITS2, 28S rRNA gene
Rfam family: Eukaryotic large subunit ribosomal RNA (bases 377-1254)
Source: RNAcentral